Molecule: ribosomal RNA, 1475 nt
Filed under: Desulfomicrobium orale
Lineage: Bacteria; Pseudomonadati; Thermodesulfobacteriota; Desulfovibrionia; Desulfovibrionales; Desulfomicrobiaceae
Description: bacterial SSU rRNA
Rfam family: Bacterial small subunit ribosomal RNA
Source: RNAcentral
AAUGAACGCUGGCGGCGUGCCUAACACAUGCAAGUCGAACGAGAAAGUUCCUUCGGGAAUGAGUAGAGUGGCGCACGGGUGAGUAACGCGUGGGUAAUCUGCCCUUGGAUUUGGGAUAACUUCGCGAAAGUGGAGCUAAUACCGGAUAGUCUGGCUUUGUAAAAGGAGUCGGUAAAGGAUGCCUCUGCAUAUGCAUUCGUCCGAGGAUGAGCCCGCGUCUCAUUAGCUAGUUGGUAGGGUAACGGCCUACCAAGGCGACGAUGAGUAGCUGGUCUGAGAGGAUGAUCAGCCACACUGGGACUGAAACACGGCCCAGACUCCUGCGGGAGGCAGUAGUGGGGAAUAUUGCGCAAUGGGCGAAAGCCUGACGCAGCAACGCCGUGUGAGGGAUGAAGGUUUUCGGAUCGUAAACCUCUGUCAGAAGGGAAGAAGUGAUGCGGGUCCAACAGGCCCGUAUCUUGACGGUACCUUCAAAGGAAGCACCGGCUAACUCCGUGCCAGCAGCCGCGGUAAUACGGAGGGUGCAAGCGUUAUUCGGAAUUACUGGGCGUAAAGCGCACGUAGGCGGCCUUGUAAGUCAGGUGUGAAAUCCCACGGCUCAACCGUGGAACUGCACUUGAAACUGCGGGGCUCGAAUCCUGGAGAGGGCGGCGGAAUUCCUGGUGUAGGAGUGAAAUCCGUAGAUAUCAGGAGGAACACCGGUGGCGAAGGCGGCCGCCUGGACAGGUAUUGACGCUGAGGUGCGAAAGUGUGGGGAGCAAACAGGAUUAGAUACCCUGGUAGUCCACACCGUAAACGAUGGAUACUAGGUGUCGGGGACUUGAUCCUCGGUGCCGCAGUUAACGCGUUAAGUAUCCCGCCUGGGGAGUACGGUCGCAAGGCUGAAACUCAAAGAAAUUGACGGGGGCCCGCACAAGCGGUGGAGUAUGUGGUUUAAUUCGAUGCAACGCGAAGAACCUUACCUGGGCUUGACAUCCUGGGAAUUCCGCAGAGAUGCGGAAGUGCCCUUCGGGGAAUCCAGAGACAGGUGCUGCAUGGCUGUCGUCAGCUCGUGCCGUGAGGUGUUGGGUUAAGUCCCGCAACGAGCGCAACCCCUAUCCUCAGUUGCCAGCAGGUAAAGCUGGGCACUCUGUGGAGACUGCCCGGGUUAACCGGGAGGAAGGUGGGGACGACGUCAAGUCAUCAUGGCCCUUACGCCCAGGGCUACACACGUACUACAAUGGUGGGCACAAAGGGCAGCGAAACCGCGAGGUCCAGCCAAUCCCAAAAAAACCAUCAUAGUCCGGAUUGCAGUCUGCAACUCGACUGCAUGAAGUUGGAAUCGCUAGUAAUCCCGGAUCAGCAUGCCGGGGUGAAUACGUUCCCGGGCCUUGUACACACCGCCCGUCACACCACGAAAGUCGGUUCUACCCGAAGCCGCCAGGCUAACCCGCAAGGGAUGCAGGCGUCUACGGUAGGGCUGGUAAUUGGGGUGA